UCGAGAAUUUUUCACAAUGGGCGCAAGCCUGAUGGAGCGACGCCGCGUGGGGGAUGAAGGGUUUCGAUCCGUAAACCCCUGUCAUUUGCGAACAAACCUUGAUUGUGAAUAGCGAUCGAGCUGAUAGUAGCGGAAGAGGAAGGGACGGCUAACUCUGUGCCAGCAGCCGCGGUAAUACAGAGGUCCCAAGCGUUGUUCGGAUUCACUGGGCGUAAAGGGUGCGUAGGUGGUCGGUGAAGUUCGGUGUGAAAGCUCGGAGCUCAACUCCGAAACGGCAUUGAAAACUCAUCGGCUGGAGGGUCGGAGGGGAGACUGGAAUUCUCGGUGUGGCAGUGAAAUGCGUAGAUAUCGAGAGGAACACCAGUGGCGAAGGCGAGUCUCUGGACGACUCCUGACACUGAGGCACGAAAGCCAGGGGAGCAAACAG
RNAcentral lists this ribosomal RNA (427 nucleotides) under uncultured bacterium. Its description in RNAcentral is "bacterial SSU rRNA". It matches the Rfam family "Bacterial small subunit ribosomal RNA", at positions 355 to 775 of the family's 1533-position model. The record is from RNAcentral.